Molecule: ribosomal RNA, 508 nt
Filed under: uncultured bacterium
Lineage: Bacteria
Description: partial 16S ribosomal RNA
Rfam family: Bacterial small subunit ribosomal RNA
Source: RNAcentral
GACGAACGCUGGCGGCGUGCUUAACACAUGCAAGUCGAACGGAAAGGCCCUGCUUUUGUGGGGUGCUCGAGUGGCGAACGGGUGAGUAACACGUGAGUAACCUGCCCUUGACUUUGGGAUAACUUCAGGAAACUGGGGCUAAUACCGGAUAGGAGCUCCUGCUGCAUGGUGGGGGUUGGAAAGUUUCGGCGGUUGGGGAUGGACUCGCGGCUUAUCAGCUUGUUGGUGGGGUAGUGGCUUACCAAGGCUUUGACGGGUAGCCGGCCUGAGAGGGUGACCGGGCACAGUGGGCCGGCGCUGCCGCCGGAUCUCCGAGGGGGGGAAGUGAGGGGGAAUGUUGCACAAGGCGCGUAAGUGUGAGACAGCGCCGCGGCUGGGUGGUGGACGGCCUGCGGGUUGGAAACCGCUUCCGUCUUUGAGGAGGGGUGAGAGGAGAUAAUGGGUCAAGAGCCCCGGGCUAUCUAAGUGCAGCCAGCGGCAGUAAGAAUCGUAGAGCACCCGUCUGCAC